Molecule: transfer RNA, 80 nt
Filed under: Roseiterribacter gracilis
Lineage: Bacteria; Pseudomonadati; Pseudomonadota; Alphaproteobacteria; Rhodospirillales; Roseiterribacteraceae
Description: tRNA-Ser
Source: RNAcentral
CGCAAGGCACGCAGGAAGAAGAAGCGGCGCGCCUGCUGGGCGCGUCGGGGUGGCAGACGUUCCGACGCGUCACCUUGCCG